Molecule: ribosomal RNA, 553 nt
Filed under: Conus dusaveli
Lineage: Eukaryota; Metazoa; Mollusca; Gastropoda; Neogastropoda; Conidae
Description: partial 12S ribosomal RNA
Source: RNAcentral
AAACCAAGAAAUUUAGUCAUUUUCUCAUGGUAAAAAGACAGUUAGGCAAAUGACAAGCAAGAUUAUUAGACCUUUAGUAAAGGAGUAAAAUCUAAAUACUAAAAGUUAUACCGGGUGUAGUCUACCUAAGAUGUUGAAUCUGUGACAGCUUUAAGGGAAACUGGGAUUGGAUACCCCAUUAUUUUUAGUUAUAAAUUUAGUUUAUGCUUACCAGAGUACUACGAAUAAAAAGUUUAAAACUCAAAGGGCUUGGCGGUGUUUUAGACCUCUCAGGGGAACCUGUCUCGUAAUCGACAAUCCACGUUAAACCUAACCUUUUGUAGUAGCACAGCCUGUAUACCGUCGUCGUCAGGUAACUUCUUAAAAUAUAGUAGUUAGCAUGAGAAUUUUAUAAAUUAAAACGUCAGAUCAAGGUGCAGCUAAUAAAAAGGUGAGGAUGGGUUACAAUUACAUAUUUGUAAAUACGGAAUAACACUUGAAAUGAAGAGUUUCAAAGGAGGACUUGAAAGUAAUUUUGAUUAUAUAGACAAAAUGAAUACGGCUCUGAAACGUG